Molecule: ribosomal RNA, 1245 nt
Filed under: metagenome
Description: bacterial LSU rRNA
Rfam family: Bacterial large subunit ribosomal RNA
Source: RNAcentral
UGAAUACGAGAUGCUACGGCGUCGAAGCAGUCUAUGUCAUACUUCCAAGAAAAGCUUGCACUGUCAUAAACAAAUAAUGCCUGUACCAUAACCGACACAGGUGGGUAGGUAGAGUAUACUAAGGGGCGCGAGAUAACUCUCUCUAAGGAACUCGGCAAAAUGACUCCGUAACUUCGGGAGAAGGAGUGCCUUAUUUAUAAGGUUGCAAUAACAAGAUCCAAGCAACUGUUUACCAAAAACACAGGUCUCCGCUAAGUCGUAAGACGAUGUAUGGGGGCUGACGCCUGCCCAGUGCCAGAAGGUUAAAGAAGUUGGUUAGCAUCCGCGAAGCUGAUAACUGAAGCCCUGGUGAACGGCGGCCGUAACAAUAACGGUCCUAAGGUAGCGAAAUUCCUUGUCGGGUAAGUUCCGACCCGCACGAAAGGCGUAAUGAUUUGGAUACUGUCUCGGAGAGGGGCUCGGUGAAAUAGACUUGUCUGUGAAGAUGCGGACUACCUGCACCAGGACAGAAAGACCCUAUGAAGCUUUACUGUAACCUGAAAUUGAAAUUGGACUUUACUUGCGCAGUAUAGGUGGGAGGCGUUGAGAAUAUUCUUGCGGGAUUAUUGGAGCCAUCAGUGAGAUACCACUCUUGUAAUGUUAGAUUUCUAACUUUGUAUCAUUAUCUGGUCAAAGAACAGUUUCAGGCGGGCAGUUUGACUGGGGCGGUCGCCUCCUAAACGGUAACGGAGGCGCACAAAGGUUUCCUCUGAACGGGUAGAAAUCGUAUCUAGAGUGUAAAGGCAUAAGGAAGCUUGACUGUGAGACCUACAAGUCGAGCAGGGACGAAAGUCGGUCUUAGUGAUCUGACGGUGCUGAGUGGAAAGGCCGUCACUCAACGGAUAAAAGUUACUCUAAGGAUAACAGGCUGAUCUCCCCCAAGAGUUCACAUCGACGGGGAGGUUUGGCACCUCGAUGUCGGCUCAUCGCAUCCUGGGGCGGUAGUACGUCCCAAGGGUUGGGCUGUUCGCCCAUGAAAGCGGUACGCGAGCUGGGUUCAGAACGUCGUGAGACAGUUCGGUCCAUAUCCGGUGUAGGCGUUAGAAUAUUGAGAGGAGCCUUCUUUAGUACGAGAGGACCGAGAAGGACAUACCUCUGGUGUACCAGUUAUCGUGCCAACGGUAAACGCUGGGUAGCUAUGUGUGGAGUGGAUAACCGCUGAAAGCAUCUAAGUGGGAAGCCCACCUCAAGAUAGGUAUUCUCAUC